Molecule: ribosomal RNA, 460 nt
Filed under: uncultured bacterium
Lineage: Bacteria
Description: partial 16S ribosomal RNA
Rfam family: Bacterial small subunit ribosomal RNA
Source: RNAcentral
CCUACGGGGGGCAGCAGUGAGGAAUAUUGGUCAAUGGACGAAAGUCUGAACCAGCCAUGCCGCGUGCAGGAAGACGGCUCUAUGAGUUGUAAACUGCUUUUGUACAAGGGUAAACCUGAAUACGUGUAUUCAGCUGAAAGUACUGUACGAAUAAGGAUCGGCUAACUCCGUGCCAGCAGCCGCCGUAAUACGGAGGAUCCAAGCGUUAUCCGGAUUUAUUGGGGUUAAAGGGUGCGUAGGCGGAUUGAUAAGUUAGAGGUGAAAUGUGCGGGCUCAACUCGGGAUCUGCCGCUAAUACUGUUGAUCUAGAGAGUAGAUGCGGUAGGCGGAAUGUAUGGUGUAGCGGUGAAAUGCUUAGAGAUCAUACAGAACACCGAUUGCGAAGGCAGCUUACCAAUCUAUAUCUGACGUUGAGGCACGAAAGCGUGGGGAGCGAACAGGAUUAGAUACCCGAGUAGUC